CAAAGAUUAAGCCAUGCAUGUCUAAGUACAUACUUUUACAUGGUGAAACCGCGAAUGGCUCAUUAAAUCAGUUAUGGUUCCUUAGAUCGUACAAUCCUACUUGGAUAACUGUGGUAAUUCUAGAGCUAAUACAUGAAACUGACGCUCCGACCCUCUGGGAAAGAGCGCGUUUAUUAGAACAAGACCAGUCGGGGUUCGCCCCGUACGAUUGGUGAUACUGGAUAACUUUGUGCAGAUCGCACGGCCUCGCGCCGGCGACGUAUCUUUCAAAUGUCUGCCCUAUCAACUGUCGAUGGUACGUGAUAUGCCUACCAUGGUUGUAACGGGUAACGGGGAAUCAGGGUUCGAUUCCGGAGAGGGAGCAUGAGAAACGGCUACCACAUCC
Molecule: ribosomal RNA, 385 nt
Filed under: Perna viridis (Asian green mussel)
Lineage: Eukaryota; Metazoa; Mollusca; Bivalvia; Mytilida; Mytilidae
Description: SSU rRNA
Rfam family: Eukaryotic small subunit ribosomal RNA
Source: RNAcentral